CAGUCGAACGAACUCUGGUAUUGAUUGGUGCUUGCAUGAUGAUUUACAUUUGAGUGAGUGGCGAACUGGUGAGUAACACGUGGGAAACCUGCCCAGAAGCGGGGGAUAACACCUGGAAACAGAUGCUAAUACCGCAUAACAACUUGGACCGCAUGGUCCGAGUUUGAAAGAUGGCUUCGGCUAUCACUUUUGGAUGGUCCCGCGGCGUAUUAGCUAGAUGGUGGGGUAACGGCUCACCAUGGCAAUGAUACGUAGCCGACCUGAGAGGGUAAUCGGCCACAUUGGGACUGAGACACGGCCCAAACUCCUACGGGAGGCAGCAGUAGGGAAUCUUCCACAAUGGACGAAAGUCUGAUGGAGCAACGCCGCGUGAGUGAAGAAGGGUUUCGGCUCGUAAAACUCUGUUGUUAAAGAAGAACAUAUCUGAGAGUAACUGUUCAGGUAUUGACGGUAUUUAACCAGAAAGCCACGGCUAACUACGUGCCAGCAGCCGCGGUAAUACGUAGGUGGCAAGCGUUGUCCGGAUUUAUUGGGCGUAAAGCGAGCGCAGGCGGUUUUUUAAGUCUGAUGUGAAAGCCUUCGGCUCAACCGAAGAAGUGCAUCGGAAACUGGGAAACUUGAGUGCAGAAGAGGACAGUGGAACUCCAUGUGUAGCGGUGAAAUGCGUAGAUAUAUGGAAGAACACCAGUGGCGAAGGCGGCUGUCUGGUCUGUAACUGACGCUGAGGCUCGAAAGUAUGGGUAGCAAACAGGAUUAGAUACCCUGGUAGUCCAUACCGUAAACGAUGAAUGCUAAGUGUUGGAGGGUUUCCGCCCUUCAGUGCUGCAGCUAACGCAUUAAGCAUUCCGCCUGGGGAGUACGGCCGCAAGGCUGAAACUCAAAGGAAUUGACGGGGGCCCGCACAAGCGGUGGAGCAUGUGGUUUAAUUCGAAGCUACGCGAAGAACCUUACCAGGUCUUGACAUACUAUGCAAAUCUAAGAGAUUAGACGUUCCCUUCGGGGACAUGGAUACAGGUGGUGCAUGGUUGUCGUCAGCUCGUGUCGUGAGAUGUUGGGUUAAGUCCCGCAACGAGCGCAACCCUUAUUAUCAGUUGCCAGCAUUAAGUUGGGCACUCUGGUGAGACUGCCGGUGACAAACCGGAGGAAGGUGGGGAUGACGUCAAAUCAUCAUGCCCCUUAUGACCUGGGCUACACACGUGCUACAAUGGAUGGUACAACGAGUUGCGAACUCGCGAGAGUAAGCUAAUCUCUUAAAGCCAUUCUCAGUUCGGAUUGUAGGCUGCAACUCGCCUACAUGAAGUCGGAAUCGCUAGUAAUCGCGGAUCAGCAUGCCGCGGUGAAUACGUUCCCGGGCCUUGUACACACCGCCCGUCACACCAUGAGAGUUUGUAACACCCAAAGUCGGUGGGGUAACCCAUAGGAACCA
Molecule: ribosomal RNA, 1426 nt
Filed under: Lactiplantibacillus plantarum
Lineage: Bacteria; Bacillati; Bacillota; Bacilli; Lactobacillales; Lactobacillaceae
Description: bacterial SSU rRNA
Rfam family: Bacterial small subunit ribosomal RNA
Source: RNAcentral